Molecule: ribosomal RNA, 550 nt
Filed under: uncultured Acidovorax sp.
Lineage: Bacteria; Pseudomonadati; Pseudomonadota; Betaproteobacteria; Burkholderiales; Comamonadaceae
Description: bacterial SSU rRNA
Rfam family: Bacterial small subunit ribosomal RNA
Source: RNAcentral
CUCAAAGGAAUUGACGGGGACCCGCACAAGCGGUGGAUGAUGUGGUUUAAUUCGAUGCAACGCGAAAAACCUUACCCACCUUUGACAUGUACGGAAUCCUUUAGAGAUAGAGGAGUGCUCGAAAGAGAGCCGUAACACAGGUGCUGCAUGGCUGUCGUCAGCUCGUGUCGUGAGAUGCUGGGUUAAGUCCCGCAACGAGCGCAACCCUUGUCAUUAGUUGCUACAUUUAGUUGGGCACUCUAAUGAGACUGCCGGUGAUAAACCGGAGGAAGGUGGGGAUGACGUCAAGUCCUCAUGGCCCUUAUAGGUGGGGCUACACACGUCAUACAAUGGCUGGUACAAAGGGUUGCCAACCCGCGAGGGGGAGCUAAUCCCAUAAAACCAGUCGUAGUCCGGAUCGCAGUCUGCAACUCGACUGCGUGAAGUCGGAAUCGCUAGUAAUCGUGGAUCAGAAUGUCACGGUGAAUACGUUCCCGGGUCUUGUACACACCGCCCGUCACACCAUGGGAGCGGGUUCUGCCAGAAGUAGUUAGCCUAACCGCAAGGAGGG